This 261-nucleotide ribosomal RNA is filed under the name Triticum aestivum (bread wheat). Its description in RNAcentral is "partial small subunit ribosomal RNA". Lineage: Eukaryota; Viridiplantae; Streptophyta; Magnoliopsida; Poales; Poaceae. The record is from RNAcentral.
AUGAAAUUUGAGCCUAGUCCAAAAGAUCUUGCAAUCCUGCUAGCAAAUAGGAGCUUCUGCUUGUUGCGCCUGGGAAGAGGAAAAGAUGCUCUCUCUGAUGCUGAUGCGUGCACAAUGGUUAGACCUCGUUGGCCGAAAGGCUACUACCGAAAAGGCGCGGCUUUAAUGUUGCAGGAGGACUAUGAAAAGGCAUCCGAGGCUUUUGAAGAUGGCUUGAAGCUGGAUCCUACAAAUGCUGAUAUAGCAAAUGCUUUAAGGUAA